RNAcentral lists this ribosomal RNA (302 nucleotides) under uncultured bacterium. Its description in RNAcentral is "partial 16S ribosomal RNA". It matches the Rfam family "Bacterial small subunit ribosomal RNA", at positions 508 to 807 of the family's 1533-position model. The record is from RNAcentral.
GCAGCAGCCACGGGAAUACAGAGGGUGCGAGCGUUAAUCGGAUUUACUGGGCGUAAAGCGUGCGUAGGCGGCUUCUUAAGUCGGAUGUGAAAUCCCUGAGCUUAACUUAGGAAUUGCAUUCGAUACUGGGAAGCUAGAGUAUGGGAGAGGAUGGUAGAAUUCCAGGUGUAGCGGUGAAAUGCGUAGAGAUCUGGAGGAAUACCGAUGGCGAAGGCAGCCAUCUGGCCUAAUACUGACGCUGAGGUACGAAAGCAUGGGGAGCAAACAGGAUUAGAUACCCCUGUAGUCCCUGUCUCUUAUAC